RNAcentral lists this ribosomal RNA (492 nucleotides) under uncultured bacterium. RNAcentral describes it as "partial 16S ribosomal RNA". It matches the Rfam family "Bacterial small subunit ribosomal RNA", at positions 29 to 507 of the family's 1533-position model. The record is from RNAcentral.
AGUGAACGCUGGCGGUAGGCCUAACACAUGCAAGUCGAACGGCAGCACAGUAAGCGCUUGCUCUUACGGGUGGCGAGUGGCGGACGGGUGAGGCAUACAUCGGAAUCUACUUUUUCGUGGGGGAUAACGUAGGGACACUUACGCUAAUACCGCAUACGACCUACGGGUGAAAUCAGGGGAUCUUCGGACCUUGCGCGAUUGAAUGAGCCGAUGUCGGAUUAGCUAGUUGGCGGGGUAAAGGCCCACCAAGGCGACGAUCCGUAGCUGGUCUGAGAGGAUGAUCGGCCACACUGGAACUGAGACACGGUCAAGACUCCUACGGGAGGCAGCAGUGGGGAAUAUUGGACAAUGGGCGAAAGCCUGAUCCAGCAAUACCGCGUGGGUGAAGAAGGCCUUCGGGUUGUAAAGCCCUUUUGUUGGGAAAGAAAAGCAGCAGGUGAAUACCCCGCUGUUCUGACGGUACCCAAAGAAUAAGCACCGGCUAACUUCGUG